RNAcentral lists this ribosomal RNA (449 nucleotides) under uncultured prokaryote. RNAcentral describes it as "bacterial SSU rRNA". It matches the Rfam family "Bacterial small subunit ribosomal RNA", at positions 355 to 796 of the family's 1533-position model. The record is from RNAcentral.
UCGAGAAUCAUUCGCAAUGGGGGAAACCCUGACGGUGCGACGCCGCGUGGAGGAUGAAGGCCCUCGGGUCGUAAACUCCUGUCAUCAGAGAGUAAUGGCUUACUAUUAAUAGUAGUGGGUCUUGAUAGUAUCUGAAGAGGAAGGGACGGCUAACUUCGUGCCAGCAGCCGCGGUAAUACGAAGGUCCCAAGCGUUGUUCGGAAUCACUGGGCGUAAAGCGUGUGUAGGCGGCGUGGAAAGUCAGAUGUGAAAGCCCGGGGCUCAACCUCGGAACUGCAUCCGAUACUCCCACGCUAGAGUAGUGGAGGGGCAUCUGGAAUUCACGGUGUAGCAGUGAAAUGCGUAGAUAUCGUGAGGAACACUAGUGGCGAAGGCGAGAUGCUGGACACUAACUGACGCUGAGACACGAAGGCCAGGGUAGCGAAAGGGAUUAGAUACCCCCGUAGUCC